CUUAACCCUGUGGAUAGCUAGUAAAGGAUCUGGCUAGAUUGUUUUAAAAAUCAAAUCGUUCUGACAAUAGUGUAGACCUUCAAAAACAUAAAAAAUAGGUGCUUUCCAAAAAGCAAUAUGAAACUAGGCAUUACAAAAUAAUUUUAUCUUUUAUUUGGAUGGAGAAAAAAGAAAUAAAAAAUAAAGUUAGAAGAGAUAAUCAUUUU
Molecule: long non-coding RNA, 206 nt
Filed under: Ananas comosus (pineapple)
Lineage: Eukaryota; Viridiplantae; Streptophyta; Magnoliopsida; Poales; Bromeliaceae
Description: long non-coding RNA (ACOM_LNC016059)
Source: RNAcentral